RNAcentral lists this ribosomal RNA (447 nucleotides) under uncultured bacterium. Its description in RNAcentral is "bacterial SSU rRNA". It matches the Rfam family "Bacterial small subunit ribosomal RNA", at positions 355 to 825 of the family's 1533-position model. The record is from RNAcentral.
UCGGGAAUUUUGGGCAAUGGGCGAAAGCCUGACCCAGCAACGCCGCGUGAAGGAUGAAGUAUUUCGGUAUGUAAACUUCGUAAGAAUAGGAAGAAUAAAUGACGGUACUAUUUGUAAGCUCCGGCUAACUCCGUGCCAGCAGCCGCGGUAAUACGGAGGGAGCUAGCGUUGUUCGGAAUUACUGGGCGUAAAGCGUACGUAGGCGGUGACUCAAGUCAGAGGUGAAAGCCUGGAGCUCAACUCCAGAACUGCCUUUGAAACUAGGUCGCUAGAAUCACGGAGAGGUGAGUGGAAUUCCGAGUGUAGAGGUGAAAUUCGUAGAUAUUCGGAAGAACACCAGUGGCGAAGGCGGCUCACUGGACGUGUAUUGACGCUGAGGUACGAAAGCGUGGGGAGCAAACAGGAUUAGAUACCCAAGUAGUCCCUGAGCGGGCUGGCAAGGCGCAU